This 84-nucleotide transfer RNA is filed under the name Synechococcus phage B23. Its description in RNAcentral is "tRNA-Leu". It matches the Rfam family "tRNA". Rfam says of the family: Transfer RNA (tRNA) molecules are approximately 80 nucleotides in length. Their secondary structure includes four short double-helical elements and three loops (D, anti-codon, and T loops). The record is from RNAcentral. Lineage: Duplodnaviria; Heunggongvirae; Uroviricota; Caudoviricetes; Pantevenvirales; Kyanoviridae. RNAcentral also lists the same sequence under 1 other name.
GCAUCUGUGGCGGAAUUGGUAGACGCAACGGACUUAAAAUCCGUAGCCUUUCGAGGCGUGAGAGUUCGAGUCUCUCCUGAUGUA